RNAcentral lists this ribosomal RNA (449 nucleotides) under uncultured Acidovorax sp. Its description in RNAcentral is "bacterial SSU rRNA". It matches the Rfam family "Bacterial small subunit ribosomal RNA", at positions 933 to 1382 of the family's 1533-position model. Lineage: Bacteria; Pseudomonadati; Pseudomonadota; Betaproteobacteria; Burkholderiales; Comamonadaceae. The record is from RNAcentral.
UGGAUGAUGUGGAUUAAUUCGAUGCAACGCGAAGAACCUUACCUACCUUUGACAUGUACGGAAUCCUUUAGAGAUAGAGGAGUGCUCGAAAGAGAGCCGUAACACAGGUGCUGCAUGGCUGUCGUCAGCUCGUGUCGUGAGAUGUUGGGUUAAGUCCCGCAACGAGCGCAACCCUUGUCAUUAGUUGCUACAUUCAGUUGGGCACUCUAAUGAGACUGCCGGUGACAAACCGGAGGAAGGUGGGGAUGACGUCAAGUCCUCAUGGCCCUUAUAGGUGGGGCUACACACGUCAUACAAUGGAUGGUACAAAGGGUCGCCAACCCGCGAGGGGGAGCCAAUCCCAUAAAGCCAUUCGUAGUCCGGAUCGCAGUCUGCAACUCGACUGCGUGAAGUCGGAAUCGCUAGUAAUCGUGGAUCAGAAUGUCACGGUGAAUACGUUCCCGGGUCUU